AGGCUUACCAAGAGCACUUUCACUGUUACAAGUGGAAGCCGCACAAAUAAACACCAAGGGAGACAGGGAGAUCCAGUGUGCCACAUCUAGCCACUAUGCCUGCACCUAUCUUUCAAGAUCUUCUUUAAAAAGGAGUCAUUUCCUAUGGGACUGUUAGAAACAGACUGCAGAACCAGAAUAACUCUUGGCACCAGUAUCUUGGCAAUCUUUCUUCGGACUACCUACAUGAAUAUGUGGAAAUAUUAUACGCCCGUUUUUGUCUGGAAAACUGCAUGGUACCAUUGCAGAAAACAAAUAAAUAACUUUUAAAUAAUCAGUAAAAUUGCCUGCAGUAUAGCCACAACAAGUGGAAGGGAUUACUAUGUUCGCACUGAAAAGGAAGACACAAAGUAUAUCAGUUUCAUGGUUAUUAACAACAUAGAGAUUUCAAUAUAAAGUUAAUCGACUGUUGAACACCUCAUGUUUUGUAACAAAUCCAGCCACAGUUCAAGGACAGGAGUGAGUCACCAUUAAUCUAAAUGAAUCCAGGUCCUAUACUUAUGGUAAGACAUUCUUCAGUGCUUGUAGUUCUGCAUUCUCAGUGAAAUGCAUACAGUUGAUCAUGGGCACAAAUGAUGGCAGAUGUGUAAUUACACACUGAGCGUGGAGUACAUGUGCAAGUAUUGAGCACCUCACAAGUUCAUGACAACUAUCUCUGUGAUAACCUGAUACUCCAUGCUAACGUUCUUCCAACGUCUUCUAGUCCAAACUUCAGGUAAAAGUAGACCUUGAAAGCAGCACAAAGCAAAGCCCAGGCAGGUGGGCACAAUGGUUAUAAUGGCAGUCAUCAUGAGUAAAAUCACUGCUAGUAUUUAUCUUUGCUCUUUGUCCUUGCUGUUUGUUCUCUGGCAGCCUGAAAACUAAUUUCCUCCCUCAACUGCAUACCAUGGAACCUGCAUGCUCUGCAGCCUUCACCUUGCAAGGAGAGCUACUGUUGUGGUUUAACCCGGCAGGAGGCUGAGUUCGCUCAUUCCCCCCUUACCAGUGGGAUGGGGGAAAGAAUCAGGAAAAAAAUGUAGAACUUCUGGGUUAAGACAAAAAUAUUUACUAAGAUAAAGGAAAAGGAUAAUAGUUAUGA
This 1117-nucleotide long non-coding RNA is filed under the name Numida meleagris (helmeted guineafowl). Its description in RNAcentral is "lncRNA (ENSNMEG00000015056.1)". Lineage: Eukaryota; Metazoa; Chordata; Aves; Galliformes; Numididae. The record is from RNAcentral.